This 413-nucleotide transfer-messenger RNA is filed under the name Litorilinea aerophila. Its description in RNAcentral is "Standard tmRNA". It matches the Rfam family "transfer-messenger RNA". Rfam says of the family: Bacterial tmRNA, also known as 10Sa RNA or SsrA, is named for its dual tRNA and mRNA-like properties. Lineage: Bacteria; Bacillati; Chloroflexota; Caldilineae; Caldilineales; Caldilineaceae. The record is from Rfam by way of RNAcentral.
GGGGAUGACCGGUUUCGACGGGGCAGGCUGUUCAUAGACUGCAGGCCGUAGAGCGUCGACUACGUUAAAAAGGCGCAACACCUACAAAUGCCAACAACAGUGGCAAAGUCUUCAACUUCGGGUUCGCCAACGCUGCUCCUGCGGCGGUGGCUGCCUAAGUGAAGGCACCAGACCCUCUCAUACAGGGUCUCGGCCCGUACCGGUGCUGCUCUCAGGCCGGACGGUAGCCGCCAUAGACUGUUGAGCUGCGGUCACUGGACGCCGAUAAGGUGACCUAAGACCCAUCGGCUAGCCGGGCAAAGGAAUCCUGUCGCACGGAGUCCGCCCGGCGAAACAGCAAAAGUGCGACUAAGCCUGUAGAUGUCUAUGGACGAAUGUCUCGGACGCGGGUUCGACUCCCGCCAUCUCCACCU